This 71-nucleotide transfer RNA is filed under the name Marmota monax (woodchuck). Its description in RNAcentral is "tRNA.Ala". Lineage: Eukaryota; Metazoa; Chordata; Mammalia; Rodentia; Sciuridae. The record is from RNAcentral.
GUGGUUAUAGCUCAGUGGUAGAGUGUACACUUAGCAUGGGCAAGGCCCUGGGUUUGAUUCUCAUCACUACC